AUGUGAGCCGGCUUAUAAUUUUGACAAAUAUUUGUUAUCGGUAGGUAACACGUAUACCAUUGGAAUUACUCGUACUUAUUGUUAACAACACAACUCCUUAGGUACUUGUUCCAUAUGUACGGUACUUUCAGUUUCUAAAUGCAGUGAUUGUGUUCCAGUUUAUUCUACACUUUGGUUUUGAUUUGUUGAUGCAAUACCCAAACCAGCCUCUGGACUAGAUCGAAUAAGCAUCCAGCUUUUAAAAAUAUGGGCGAUCAGAAGAAAUGAAGCAUUUUGGCUCGCAAUUUUUUCGUCCAGCAUGGAUUUACUUGAAAUUUUUACAGAAGAUACAUACAUACCUAUCUUGAAAGAUUAGCAAUGAACUACAAUACUGUCAGAACUACAUACUGUCAGUGUGCGCAGGCGCGCGGAUCAUGUACAAUUUUACCCUCAAUCGAUUCGCCGCUAAAGAAGAAUAUCUUCAAAAAAAAAACGAUUUUAAUGAAAAACGCUUAAAUUCUCUUGUUUUUUACAAUGUAAAAACUUGAAACUUUUUUAAGGAUUGUAUAGCUAAUGAUAUGAACAAUACAUAAUUUUACUUUUUACGUUAAUUGUUUACGUUAUGCUUCAUAAAUAAACAAUAAAGUUUCAAAGUUUUGGCCGAUUCCGACUACUUUUCAUGUUAGUACAUCAUACGUUUUAUACAUAUUUUAAUAAAUAUGACGAUAUAUUUUAAUGUUUGAAAAGUGUAAGACUAAAAAGUAAAAAAUAAAAAAAUAUGAAAAAAAAAUUUAAGAAAUGCUUUUCUUUAGUUACGAGUGACUAAAAUUAAAAAUAUUAUAAAAAAUCAACUAAAAAGCAAAAAAUAAAAAAAUGAAAAAAUCUAACACAUUCGUUAAAGAAAAGCUUGGUGCGAAAACCGUUUAUGCGAUGAACACGCGCCACGCUUUUCUUUGACGGAUGUUAUAAUUUUUUCAAUUUUUUUUUAUUUUUUGCUUUUUCGUUGAUUUUUUUAUAAUAUUUUUAAUUUUAGUCACUCGUAACUAAAGAAAAGCGUUUCUUAAAAUUUUUUUUUUUCAUAUUUUUUUAUUUUUUAAUUUAAUGUCGUCCGAACCACUGGGGUUAUAAACGACAACGAUGGAAAAUACAUAUUAAAAACAAGCUGAAAAUGCGAGCAUUGUCAUAACGAAAACUUUGUAUAUUUAUUUCUAUUAUGAAAAGUAGUUUAGAAUUAUUAAUCAUUAUGUUUUAAUGUGCAAUUAUAUCAUUCUAAUUUAAAUGUUAUGAACUAUAAAGGUAGUUUACUCUUGAUCGAAAUUCAUAUUUUUUAUAUACCUCGUAUAAAAUUAAUAAAAUUUUAUACAAGGUGUCCCAAAAGUAGUGGAACGGUCGAAUAUUUCGCGAACUGAACAUCGGAUCGAAAAACUGAAAAAUACGUGUUCAAUCAUUUUCAAAAAUCUAUCCAAUUACUCCAAACACCAACCUCCACUACACCCCCUGGAGGUGGGGUGGGGGGUAACUUUAAAAUCUCAAAUAGAAACUCCUAGAUUUUCUUGCAGAUUUGGAUUCGUUGCGUAAAAGUAAGCAACUUUUAUUUAAGACAUUUUUUCGAACUGUGGAUAGAUGGCGCUAUAAUUGGGAAAAACGAUUUAUUCUGAUACCAUGGGUAAAUUAUAGAAACGGUCUAAUAUCUCGAGAAAUACACUUCCAAAUGAGAAACAAAACAAAUUUUUUUAAUACUUUUCGAAAACCUAUCGAUUAACACUAAACAUGACCCUCCAACCCAUCCCCCUGGAGGUGGGGUGGGGGGUAACUUUAAAAUAUUAAAUAGCAACCCCCACUUUUUAUUACAGAUUCGGAUUUGUCAUGAAAAAC
This 1854-nucleotide long non-coding RNA is filed under the name Diabrotica virgifera virgifera (western corn rootworm). Its description in RNAcentral is "uncharacterized LOC126884891". Lineage: Eukaryota; Metazoa; Arthropoda; Insecta; Coleoptera; Chrysomelidae. The record is from RNAcentral.